UGGAUUUGCGUCCUAUGCUGCCCUUUAUCAGCCAUAUGAGCCUGAACAAGCCCUAACGAUGGUGUGAGCCUCAGUUUUUUGUUAAUCUGUAGAAUAGUGAUAAUAUCUCUCUUAUUUAUCUUAUUUGUUAAUUAAACCCAAAUUAAAUGGCAUAGAGUAGGCCUUGGGUACCACUGCAGUAACUCCAUUUUUUUCUGUUUUUUUGUUAAAACAGUCAUUUGUCUCUGAACUCUGUAACGGCAGGGAACUCUGUAUUUCCUUUCCCCUUCCUGUCAGCACCUUGCCCAUGUAGUCAUGGUCUCUAUGUAAAGUUGUUCUCACAGAUGAGAACUGCCUCCAUUUGUGCCAAAGCCACAGGGUGACCCUGCCUGACUUUGUGACUGAGAUGAAGGAGCAAGCAUGCUGUCAAAGGGAAGAUAACACCAAUCUAGAAGGAAGUUACAAUACUGAAGACCACAGAAUCAAGAUUAAAAACUCUCGACAGGCUGCAGCCCUGGGUUGGAAACAAGAAAUCCAUCUGUUGCCUAUUAAAGAAGACUGGAGGCUGUACGCAGUGGCUCACGCCUGUAAUCCCAGCACUUUGGGAGGCCGAGGCGGGUGGAUCACCUGAGGUCAGGAAUUCGAGACCAGCCUGACCAACAUGCAGAAACCCCGUCUCUACUAAAAAAAUAAAAUAAAAUUAGCCAGGCGUGGUGGCAGAUGCCUGUAAUCCCAGCUACUUGGGAGGCUGAGGCAGGAGAAUUGCUUCAACCUGGGAGGCAGAGGUUGUGGUGAGCCGAGAUUGCGCCACUGCACUCCAGCCUGGGCAACGAGUGAAACUCCGUCUCAAAAAAAAAAAAAAAAAAAGAAAAAAGAAAAAAGACUGGAAAGUAUAGUGGUAUAAAUCAAAAAGUAUCAGAGACAGAUCUCAAUCAACUUAGCAGUUUAUUUUGCCAAGGUUAAGGACAUGGCCGGAAGAAAGGAACACAGAUACCACAGAAACAGCAUGUGGUCGGGGCUUUUCUUCAAAGAUCACUUUGAAGCCUUCAGUAUUUAAAGGGGAAAAGCAGGCUGGAAGAGAAAGAGGGAGGAUGUGGUCACAUGACUGAAUCCACAUGUUGCAAGAGAAAAGGAGCAAGUAGGAGAACAGACAAUUAUGUAGUCGUCUCCCACUCAGUAAAUCAGCACUGAUCACUGAUAAGGUGAACAUAGAGUAGCUGACUGUGGAGACAUCCGGCCUUUUAUCUGUAGCUGUCUGCUUAGGAACAAAGAGAAAGGCAAUUUCUGGCCAUGACUCAGCUUUCAGCUUAAUGUUUUCCUUUUGGCAUCAUGAAACGGGGUCCUGAGAUUUUAUUUUCUUUCACGGUGGUU
RNAcentral lists this long non-coding RNA (1350 nucleotides) under Homo sapiens (human). RNAcentral describes it as "HSALNT0030337". The record is from RNAcentral. Lineage: Eukaryota; Metazoa; Chordata; Mammalia; Primates; Hominidae.